AAGUCGAACGAUGAAGCUUCUAGCUUGCUAGAAGUGGAUUAGUGGCGCACGGGUGAGUAAGGUAUAGUUAAUCUGCCCUACACAAGAGGACAACAGUUGGAAACGACUGCUAAUACUCUAUACUCCUGCUUAACACAAGUUGAGUAGGGAAAGUUUUUCGGUGUAGGAUGAGACUAUAUAGUAUCAGCUAGUUGGUAAGGUAAUGGCUUACCAAGGCUAUGACGCUUAACUGGUCUGAGAGGAUGAUCAGUCACACUGGAACUGAGACACGGUCCAGACUCCUACGGGAGGCAGCAGUAGGGAAUAUUGCGCAAUGGGGGAAACCCUGACGCAGCAACGCCGCGUGGAGGAUGACACUUUUCGGAGCGUAAACUCCUUUUCUUAGGGAAGAAUUCUGACGGUACCUAAGGAAUAAGCACCGGCUAACUCCGUGCCAGCAGCCGCGGUAAUACGGAGGGUGCAAGCGUUACUCGGAAUCACUGGGCGUAAAGGGCGCGUAGGCGGAUUAUCAAGUCUCUUGUGAAAUCUAAUGGCUUAACCAUUAAACUGCUUGGGAAACUGAUAGUCUAGAGUGAGGGAGAGGCAGAUGGAAUUGGUGGUGUAGGGGUAAAAUCCGUAGAUAUCACCAAGAAUACCCAUUGCGAAGGCGAUCUGCUGGAACUCAACUGACGCUAAGGCGCGAAAGCGUGGGGAGCAAACAGGAUUAGAUACCCUGGUAGUCCACGCCCUAAACGAUGUACACUAGUUGUUGGGGUGCUAGUCAUCUCAGUAAUGCAGCUAACGCAUUAAGUGUACCGCCUGGGGAGUACGGUCGCAAGAUUAAAACUCAAAGGAAUAGACGGGGACCCGCACAAGCGGUGGAGCAUGUGGUUUAAUUCGAAGAUACGCGAAGAACCUUACCUGGGCUUGAUAUCCUAAGAACCUUUUAGAGAUAAGAGGGUGCUAGCUUGCUAGAACUUAGAGACAGGUGCUGCACGGCUGUCGUCAGCUCGUGUCGUGAGAUGUUGGGUUAAGUCCCGCAACGAGCGCAACCCACGUAUUUAGUUGCUAACGGUUCGGCCGAGCACUCUAAAUAGACUGCCUUCGUAAGGAGGAGGAAGGUGUGGACGACGUCAAGUCAUCAUGGCCCUUAUGCCCAGGGCGACACACGUGCUACAAUGGCAUAUACAAUGAGACGCAAUACCGCGAGGUGGAGCAAAUCUAUAAAAUAUGUCCCAGUUCGGAUUGUUCUCUGCAACUCGAGAGCAUGAAGCCGGAAUCGCUAGUAAUCGUAGAUCAGCCAUGCUACGGUGAAUACGUUCCCGGGUCUUGUACUCACCGCCCGUCACACCAUGGGAGUUGAUUUCACUCGAAGCCGGAAUACUAAACUAGUUACCGUCCACAGUGGAAUCAGCGACUGGGG
This 1402-nucleotide ribosomal RNA is filed under the name Campylobacter coli. RNAcentral's name for it is "bacterial SSU rRNA". It matches the Rfam family "Bacterial small subunit ribosomal RNA". Lineage: Bacteria; Pseudomonadati; Campylobacterota; Epsilonproteobacteria; Campylobacterales; Campylobacteraceae. The record is from RNAcentral.